GUCUCCUACGGGACGCAGCAGUGGGGAAUAUUGCACAAUGGGGGAAACCCUGAUGCAGCGACGCCGCGUGAGUGAGGAAGUAUUUCGGUAUGUAAAGCUCUAUCCGCCGGGAAGAAAAUGACGGUACCUGACUAAGAAGCCCCGGCUAACUACGUGCCCGCAGCCGCGGUAAUACGUAGGGGGCAAGCGUUAUCCGGAUUUACUGGGUGUAAAGGGAGCGUAGACGGAGGAGCCAGUCUGAUGU
RNAcentral lists this ribosomal RNA (244 nucleotides) under uncultured bacterium. Its description in RNAcentral is "partial 16S ribosomal RNA". It matches the Rfam family "Bacterial small subunit ribosomal RNA", at positions 334 to 595 of the family's 1533-position model. The record is from RNAcentral.